GACAAGCCCUGGAAACGGGGUCUAAUACCGGAUAACACCGGCCUUCGCAUGGAGGCUGGUUGAAAGCUCCGGCGGUGAAGGAUGAGCCCGCGGCCUAUCAGCUUGUUGGUGGGGUAAUGGCCCACCAAGGCGACGACGGGUAGCCGGCCUGAGAGGGCGACCGGCCACACUGGGACUGAGACACGGCCCAGACUCCUACGGGAGGCAGCAGUGGGGAAUAUUGCACAAUGGGCGAAAGCCUGAUGCAGCGACGCCGCGUGAGGGAUGACGGCCUUCGGGUUGUAAACCUCUUUCAGCAGGGAAGAAGCGAAAGUGACGGUACCUGCAGAAGAAGCGCCGGCUAACUACGUGCCAGCAGCCGCGGUAAUACGUAGGGCGCAAGCGUUGUCCGGAAUUAUUGGGCGUAAAGAGCUCGUAGGCGGCUUGUCACGUCGGGUGUGAAAGCCCGGGGCUUAACCCCGGGUCUGCAUCCGAUACGGGCAGGCUAGAGUGUGGUAGGGGAGAUCGGAAUUCCUGGUGUAGCGGUGAAAUGCGCAGAUAUCAGGAGGAACACCGGUGGCGAAGGCGGAUCUCUGGGCCAUUACUGACGCUGAGGAGCGAAAGCGUGGGGAGCGAACAGGAUUAGAUACCCUGGUAGUCCACGCCGUAAACGUUGGGAACUAGGUGUUGGCGACAUUCCACGUCGUCGGUGCCGCAGCUAACGCAUUAAGUUCCCCGCCU
RNAcentral lists this ribosomal RNA (720 nucleotides) under Actinomycetes bacterium. RNAcentral's name for it is "bacterial SSU rRNA". It matches the Rfam family "Bacterial small subunit ribosomal RNA", at positions 142 to 874 of the family's 1533-position model. Lineage: Bacteria; Bacillati; Actinomycetota; Actinomycetes. The record is from RNAcentral.